UCCGGUUUGACACCGGCAGUCUCCCAUGAGUCCUCAGCCGAACUGUUAGCAACAUGGGAUAGGGGUUGCGCUCGUAGCGGGACUUAAGCCAACACCUCACGGCACGAGCUGACGACAGCCAUGCAGCACCUGUGCAGGGCCCCGAAGGACACGGGCUUUCACCCGCUUUAACUAGCAUGUCAAACCCAGGUAAGGUUCUUCGCGUUGCAUCGAAUUAAUCCACAUAAUCCACCGCUUGUGCGGGUCCCCGUCAAUUCCUUUGAGUUUUAGCCUUGCGGCCGUACUCCCCAGGCGGUCAACUUCACGCGUUAGCUUCGUUACCAAGGAAUUGCUUCCCCGACAACCAGUUGACAUAGUUUAGGGCGUGGACUAC
RNAcentral lists this unclassified non-coding RNA (373 nucleotides) under uncultured bacterium. RNAcentral's name for it is "contains 16S-23S intergenic spacer region". The record is from RNAcentral.